RNAcentral lists this long non-coding RNA (937 nucleotides) under Homo sapiens (human). Its description in RNAcentral is "HSALNT0228788". The record is from RNAcentral. Lineage: Eukaryota; Metazoa; Chordata; Mammalia; Primates; Hominidae.
GGGGGGUGAGGGACGGGCCUCCCGUGCAGACCUCAAGGCCCAGUGGACACAGCCUCUGCUGGGCUUGAGCCAGAGUGCUGGUGCUUCCUCUCUGCAUGGGGGUCAGCUCCUGGUGGCCUCCUGCUGGAUUUUGUGGAUGUUCGAUGCAGAUUAUUUCUCUAAAGGGUGCCUGCUCCCCAGAUUCCCUUCUUUGCAGAGCACAGAGUCCCACUGGGAGGCCUCUGUGGCCUCUGGCCAAGGAGUUCCCCAAGCCUCCUUUUUCCCCAUCUGUAAAAUGGGGACUGGUCUGUGUCUCCCACGACUGUUGAAAGGAAGACUGCAGUGGUGCAAGUGAAGCCCUUGGUGAGGAGAAGUGAGUUGGUGAAGGGCUAGAAUCUGCAGUCGAACGGAAGCCGGCUCCUUGCACUGGGUCACUCACCCUUGGAAGUCGCCCCUUCUCUGAGCCUCCAUUUCUUGCUACAUAAAACGAGGGUCCCGCAAUACUCUCUCUAGUGGCUUCUGUUUUGUGCCAUGCUGCUAUUCAUAGAUGGCAGUGCUUUUUUUUGUUUGUUUGUUUUCCAUGAUGGAGUCUCGCUCUGUCACCCAAGCUGGAGUGCAGUGGCUCAAUCUCUGCUCACUGCAAACUCCACCUCCCAAGUUCAAGCGAUUCUCCUGCCUCAGACCCCCGAGGAACUGGAACCACAGGUGUGGGCCACCAACCCAGCUAAUUUUUGUAUUUUUAGUAGAGACGGGAUUUCACCAUGUUGGCCAGGCUGGUCUUGAACUUCUGACCUCAGGUGAUCCACCCACCUUGGCUUCCCAAAGUGCUGGGAUUAUAAGCAUGAGCCAGCUCAUGCCAGGGUGGGCGAGCUGGCUUGAGGUGAGCCGAGAUCACACCACCGCACUCCAGCCUGGGCGACAGAGCGAGACUCCGUCUCAAAAAGAAAAAAAAAUCCAC